RNAcentral lists this ribosomal RNA (459 nucleotides) under uncultured bacterium. RNAcentral describes it as "partial 16S ribosomal RNA". It matches the Rfam family "Bacterial small subunit ribosomal RNA", at positions 338 to 795 of the family's 1533-position model. The record is from RNAcentral.
CCUACGGGGUGCAGCAGUGAGGAAUAUUGGUCAAUGGGCGGAAGCCUGAACCAGCCAAGUAGCGUGCGGGAUGAAGGCCCUACGGGUCGUAAACCGCUUCUGCACGGGGAUAACACCCUCCACUUGUGGAGGUCUGCAGGUACCGUGCGAAUACGGGCCGGCGAAUUCCUGGCCAGAAGCCGCGGUAAUACGGAAGGCCCGAUCGUUAUCCGGAUUCAUUGGGCUUAAAGGGAGCGUAGGCGGGCGUUCACGUCAGCUGUAAAAUCGCGCGGCUCAACCGCGCACCGCAGUUGAAACUGGACGGCUUGAGUUCACAACAGGCAGGCGGAAUUCGUGGUGUAGCGGUGAAAUGCAUAGAUAUCACGAGGAACCCCGAUGGCGAAGGCAGCCUGCCGGGGUGCGACUGACGCGGAGGCUCGAAGGUGCGGGUAUCAAACAGGAUUAGAUACCCUUGUAGUC